AAAUUAAACCGAAGGAGAGAAAAAAAAAGAGAAACGGAUCGUCUCCAUUCACCACCACCCUGAUUCCUCCCCCUCUCCCUCAUCUGCCGCUGCCGCCACUCACCGGCACCCUCCCCCACAGCCGUCGCCGCCACCAGUGCCCUCGCCCACAGCCUGCACCCCUAUCCUUCUCUCCUCCGCUCACCUUAUCCCCACCACAGGCGAGCUCCUCCUCCCCCCUGCUCGCCCCAGAUUGAGCAGCAGGUUAGGGUUCACGGCCACAGCGGCACGAGCGCUCCGAUGCAGGUUCAAGCCGCUUGAGGUGGGUGCUCGCUGCGGCUCUUACCCUUGUGCUGACGCCAUCGACAAGAACAUAUACCUCUGUUAGUGGAGCAGCCCCAACCCUAGCCCUUCUUCGGCCAUGGCGACCUAGCAAGCAGGAGGUUGCCAACACAAUUGGCAAGAGCUACAAAAUAUGAAAUUCCUCCCUGAACAAAGCUUGAGGAACCUGAAGUCUGCAGUCCUUCAGUCACAAGGCAUCCGAUGCUUGGUUCCAGAUGAUUGCAACAAGUUGCUUGCUCUUGUUAGAGCUGAAAAAAGAAAAGUCCGCGGCACUUUCACGUUGAUCCUUCGUCUUCGAUCUAUGCCGCCGGGCAUGACGCACCCUCCGUCAGAGUUCACGCCGGCCACGACGCUUCAUCUACAUCCGCAGGCUUUUAAUCGCCCUCUGGAGCAAGCAUCACCAGCAACCCUCGUAAUGGACGGCCUCCCACUCCUUUGUGCCUUUUACUAUUGUACAGUUACAUUCCGUGGGAAUUGUGCCGUGUGUGUGUGGGCAGUUUAGGGAGUUUGCUGCAAAUGUUGCUCGGUUAGGAAACCUGUGCAGUGAUCCCAAAUGGCACAACUUGAAUCAGCAUUUCUCGAGGUUGAAGUGUGAACCCACUUUGGUGGAUGGAUGGAUGGAGGGAGGUUAACCACACAUCAGAAAUACUCUAAAGAAGCAGCAGCAUCCAGUAUGUACUAUGUAGUAUCUCAGUUCGUUUGUGGUGGAUGGAUGGAGGGAGGGAGGUGAAGUGAGAUGGACUGGGCAGUCUACUGCGUUUGGUUUGUUUAGGUGGAAAGAUUCUUGACCACUGACUCACAGCUGAUGCUGAUUUCUGAUCAUCUAGCAAGGAGGUCUCUAUGGCAAGUCCAAGAUGGUGUCGAAGAAAAAAUCUAUUGUGAUGUCCUUUGUUGCAUGCUAUACUCGAAUCUUGUGUGCCCAAAGAGCCUCAUAAUUGAUAAGAGCAUUCACACAGCAUGUCUGGGAAAUCAGAUCAGCACAACAUUUCAUUUAUAUACAAAAUCAACAUUUUAUUGGUUCUUCGUAUGAGUGACCAUCCUAUGUGAAUUCAGAUCCAAGUUGGCAUGAUGAAAUAUGGAUGGACAACAUCAAUAGGUCCAGUUCCUUGAGUUUGUGGUUAAUGGAGAAAGGCCUUCUAUCAUUGCUUAAGUGAACUCUCAGAUCUUUCAACAUGGUAUUGUUGAUCUGCGGGGGCUAUCAUUCUUCACUAUGCAACAUUGGCACUUUCUAGGCUGAAGUAUCUUAUCAAGCCCAUUGUUUGCAGCAUAACGGCCUAUGAUCAGGCUUGUACACAGUUAAUUGUCUCAUGUGUGCAAUGCAAGCAGAGCAGGUUUAAAUAAAUCCUAAUAGGGUUGUCUGUGCUAGAUGGUACUAACUACAUGUAUCAGGUUGAUAUAUAUUUCCUUCUUUGUCAAUGAGCAAAUCAUAAUAUGACUUAUUGACGUGUCAAGGCUUCUGUUGCAUUCUUAGGGAAGAUUGUGGUCAGUGAAAUUGCAUUGACUUUGAUUUUGAGUGCCGUUCACUUAUUUUUGCUUCUUUACUGUUUGAUUUGCCUAGACCAUUGGUAUACUAUUUAUCUACUAUUGAAAAUACAAUUUAAUUGAGUGGUUCUCCAACGAUAACAUUUUAUUGUGUUAUCCAUUGAUUACACAGAAAUUAUGCAUUGAUUCUUGGCUCUGCUAUUACGCUGCAGUUGCUCCCUCUGACGCCGUCUGCACUGCAAAGGCAUCAGUCAAUCAGGAUGCAGUUUGGAUACACUUCUACAUUUUUUAUUUCUUUGGAAGUCUUCCCAAUGUUUUCUUGGAGUAUAGUAUCUGAUGAUAUGUUUUACGAAGCUGGUUGUCAAUCAGAUCAUUGGUGAUAUUGUUGCAUAUCUUAAGAAUAGAAAUUAAAUUAGCACAUGUAGUCCUUUCUGAACUGAUUGCAUCCACAAAGAAUGGGACUAUCAGCAAUGAGGUAAUGUUGCUUCCUUUUGAUUGUGCUACUCUGCUGCAUUGAUUAUGAUGGCUAGAACUUGAUUUUGACAGUUUAUUUUGUUCGGUCUUGGAAGUGAAAUGGAUUCUGUAUCUUGCUUUCUUACUCUUGGGCACUUUUUCUUAGAAUCCUGGAUCUGGCUCAUGGUUAAUAUAUCAGUGUAAUUGAUCUGAACUAAUAAUUUAUCAGCUGCUUAUGUGUCGUGUUCGACAAACUGCCCA
RNA transcript from Triticum aestivum (bread wheat), 2517 nucleotides. RefSeq lists it as uncharacterized. The record is from RefSeq and is a predicted model, not a curated record. The transcript has 9 exons. Lineage: Eukaryota; Viridiplantae; Streptophyta; Magnoliopsida; Poales; Poaceae.